This 818-nucleotide long non-coding RNA is filed under the name Vulpes vulpes (red fox). RNAcentral describes it as "lncRNA (ENSVVUG00000008687.1)". The record is from RNAcentral. Lineage: Eukaryota; Metazoa; Chordata; Mammalia; Carnivora; Canidae.
GCUAUGGCCCCCUCGGUGGCCUGGGAGCAGGUGAGAGAUGGGCAAAUGGGAUCUUGGGGUUAGGAGAAGGAGCCACCUCAACAAUAUGUGGGGACGCUGCUGACUCCGCCCCACCCCCCUCAGAGCAGCAAACUGGUGCCCCUUCCGCGUCUCCUUUCCCUGCGUCUCCUUUCCCUCGUGCGCACACUGCCCUCCACCUAGGACACCAAGACUGUUCUGGCGCCAUCUCACCCGUGUGCCGCACCCAGGGCACCCCCAACCCCUCCCUGUCCCUGCUUGUUCUCUGUGCCAUCCCAUGGGGCCCCUGCGGGGGUGGGGGCGUGAGUCUGCUGCUGCGCGCCCUCUGGGCCGGCUGGGAGUGGGCUCCAGGGCCCCUGCCCCGCACCAGCGGGGCCCUCCACCCUCUGGGGUGGACUUACCGGAGCCAGAAUGGCUGUGGGGGAGGUGUCCUGGGAGACCCCGCAGGAGGGAAUCCUGGGACCCUCACCUACUCCCUGGGUCCCCCCGGCUGCAGAGGGGCUAUUAAACCUCAGAAGCCAGGUGGGCCCGCCCCAGCUCUGCUCUGGCUCCCCACCUUUCUCUCACACCCCUUAUCUCCAUCUGUCCCCCCAGGAUUUGGGAACGGGAAUGGACUGGGAACCCAGCCAGGCAUCGGAGCGGGUGUGAGAACCCAGAAGCCAGGGUUUGGGAACGGAAAUGGGCUGGCAGCCGGGGCCUUCCCGGGUGCUGUCACCCAGCCAGGUGAGACAGGGGAAGGGGGGGCUGCUGAGGAGGCUGGGUCAGCAUUGGGAGGUCUCCCAGGCUCCCCCAGGGCAGAC